UGGGGAAUAUUGCACAAUGGGCGAAAGCCUGAUGCAGCGACGCCGCGUGCGGGAUGAAGGCCUUCGGGUUGUAAACCGCUUUUAAUUGGGAGCAAGCGAGAGUGAGUGUACCUUUUGAAUAAGCACCGGCUAACUACGUGCCAGCAGCCGCGGUAAUACGUAGGGUGCAAGCGUUAUCCGGAAUUAUUGGGCGUAAAGAGCUCGUAGGCGGUUUGUCACGCCUGGUGUGAAAGUCCAUCGCUUAACGGUGGAUCUGCGCCGGGUACGGGCAGGCUAGAGUGCAGUAGGGGGAG
RNAcentral lists this ribosomal RNA (293 nucleotides) under uncultured bacterium. RNAcentral describes it as "partial 16S ribosomal RNA". It matches the Rfam family "Bacterial small subunit ribosomal RNA", at positions 355 to 660 of the family's 1533-position model. The record is from RNAcentral.